UAUUUUUUUUUUAAGGAGAUCAAUCAUUUUUGACCAGGUCAUCUUAAUGCGUCUGUGCGCAUUAUCUGAUGCUAUGACCUUUUCUCAGACUGAACAUUUUUUUGGAGUUACGUACUUUUACAUAAUACCGGGAAACUUAUUAAUUGAAACUUUGUUUAACAUGCUAAUUCAUGAUAAUUACGGAGUAAAUAGACUUGUUUAUCAGCACUCGACAUGGAAAACUAACUGCAGCAGCUUGGAGUCAGCAGCUGAAAGUCGAAAGUUGAAGGUUGAAAUUUCAAAAGCAACUUUUGAUGUCUUCUAACAUCUUUAGUUGAAUAAUGCAAUGACCCAUGGAUCAGACAAAUAUGGUUUGUCUCAACUGCCAUCAGCCAGGAACGAAUCUUUUGCGAUGCUGCUUACUUGCACAUCUAUAAACAAUUAACAGUAUGCAAGAAUACUUAUUAUUUUAAAUAUAAAAAACAAACAGAUAUUUAGCUAAAUGGAUACUUACUUUUUACCAGAUAUUUAUUCAUUUUAUUUGUAGUAUGGCUUUCUCAAUUGCUGCUUUUAUCAAAUCAAAACACAUUCUGUUGAUUGAUUCAUCCUUUGAUUCCAGAAGAGCUGCAUAUAAUAUUUUUAUGAAAUUUUGUUUCUCAAGCCUGAGAUCAUUAAGAUCAGUUCUUGCUCGUACAUAUGUUAAUUUUGCAACCUCUUUUGGAACUGAAGCAAUCCAUUUAAAUGGCAACUUUCUACUGAACGGCCCAUCUGCCAAAUUUGAUGUUAUGACGUUAUUUGCAGAAUUGCUGUUUGUAACCACUGUUCCUGACAUCAUUCGUAUAUGGCAAAAUUUAGUAAAAAAAUUCAAACAACUAUUGUCAGAAGACAAUUCUGGCUCAGGAGUUGGUACAAACAACUUCAUCUAUUUUGAAAAUUUAGCUUUUCUAAGAUCUACUUUCGAAAAUAGAUGAACACUAUCAUUUAUCAGUCUUUUGUCUAAAACUACUGGAGACAAUGGUGCCUCAUCAGAAUAUGAGCCUACUCUUCAAUGACAAUGUCAACAUAGAAUAUUAUUCCUGCCAGAUUUUCAAAACCACCUAAAAUCCAUGUAGCAUUCAUUGGUGAGGGUUCUUUGUUGGCCUAUACGUCUACAUCAUGUACAUCAAAACGUGUACCUUUAAAAAUACCUGAAUAUAAUGGAUUUGCUAAGAAAAAAUUUUAAUUUAUGACAAACGAUGAGGAGAGGAUGCAAGUCAUUAGCCAAAAGUUGAUACAAACGUUAGAUAAUAUUAAAAGCUUUACAUAAUACAGUACAUAUUUCAAGUAUAAUCUUUUUUACUGUAGAUUCACCUUUAUUAUAAAACCAUUUACUUUUCUUGAUAGAAUCAGCAUGGGCUAAAUAACUGAAAGAAAGACAUUUGAUAUUUGAAAUACACAUUCAU
Phymastichus coffea is the source of this 1421-nucleotide long non-coding RNA. RefSeq lists it as uncharacterized. The record is from RefSeq and is a predicted model, not a curated record. The transcript is spliced from 5 exons. Lineage: Eukaryota; Metazoa; Arthropoda; Insecta; Hymenoptera; Eulophidae.